GAAAGAAGCGUCUGCGCUGGCAAGCUCUCCCGGCAGCGCCGAGAGCCAGAGCUGCGGUGCUGCUGCGCCGAUGCUCCGUACGUUCGCAGUAGCGGGUAGAGCGGAAGGCUCUGUGGCCAGGGAAGAGCGGCACGGACACGUUCCUGCUCGCUCCGUUGCACCGGAAUUUCGACGGCUGGGUUCGGCCGCUAAAUUGAUGGCGCUACCGGAAGAAAUUUCAGAAAAAAAGGGUGGCUUUUUCGUCGAUCUCUUUGUGAGAGUAUCAAAUCAGGCGGCGGUAAAUACGUAGAAGCAGCUGGGCGUACUACGGCGUGUACCGGACAGCGUUGGCGUGCCGCUCUGCUAGCAGCGGAGAGCCAGAUGAGGAUG
Molecule: long non-coding RNA, 369 nt
Organism: Grus americana (Whooping crane)
Lineage: Eukaryota; Metazoa; Chordata; Aves; Gruiformes; Gruidae
Exons: 3
Source: RefSeq, a predicted model, not a curated record